ACUUACCCUACCGACAUGCUGCCAACCCUGCUUAAUUUUGUGCACCCCAUAUCUCAUGGAAGAAAGCAGAUAUCCCAUGGAUUAUUACAUGCUAAAAAUAGAGGAAGGCAUCGGGUGUUUGGACAUCCAAAUCUGGUUGGGCAUGGGACUUGUUGUGGCGCAUGGAGAGAAGAGUUUAAUCCAAUUAGGACUCCUCUUUAGGUGACUGAUUUAAAUUAAUUUAAAUUCUAAUCAAUUUUAAUCAUAUUAGAAGUUGAUUAGAUCCAAACAGAUAGAAAUCUAAAUCUGAUUUGGAGCUCAAACUAUUUAGAUCAGAUGUCACCUAAUUAGAGAAGGAGUCUUUGUCCUUUUGGACUCUCUCUUGGUGCUUGAGUCAAAUUCAAAAUUAAUCCUAAUCCAAUUAGGAUUUGGUAUACCCAUGAAUAUGAGAAUUUC
Molecule: long non-coding RNA, 435 nt
Filed under: Elaeis guineensis (African oil palm)
Lineage: Eukaryota; Viridiplantae; Streptophyta; Magnoliopsida; Arecales; Arecaceae
Description: long non-coding RNA (EGUI_LNC032169)
Source: RNAcentral